Molecule: ribosomal RNA, 253 nt
Filed under: uncultured bacterium
Lineage: Bacteria
Description: partial 16S ribosomal RNA
Rfam family: Bacterial small subunit ribosomal RNA
Source: RNAcentral
UACGGAGGGUGCGAGCGUUGUCCGGAAUCACUGGGCGUAAAGGGCGCGUAGGCGGCCUGAUAAGUAGGGGGGGAAAUCUUGCGGCUUAACCGCAAGGCUGCCUUCUAAACUGUCAGGCUAGAGCACAGUAGAGGCAGGUGGAAUUCCCGGUGUAGCGGUGGAAUGCGUAGAGAUCGGGAAGAACAUCAGUGGCGAAGGCGGCCUGCUGGGCUGUUGCUGACGCUGAGGCGCGACAGCGUGGGGAGCAAACAGG